CACGGGGGGAGCAAGCGUUGUUCGGAAUCACUGGGCGUAAAGGGCGUGCAGGCGGUUCGGUAAGUGAGAUGUGAAAUGCCCCGGCUCACCCGGGGACCUGCAUCUCAUACUGCUGGACUUGAGUACGGGAGAGGAUGGGGGAAUUCCUGGUGUAGCGGUGAAAUGCGUAGAUAUCAGGAGGAACACCGGUGGCGAAGGCGCCCAUCUGGCCCGAUACUGACGCUGAGGCGCGAAAGCUAGGGGAGCAAAC
Molecule: ribosomal RNA, 250 nt
Filed under: uncultured bacterium
Lineage: Bacteria
Description: partial 16S ribosomal RNA
Rfam family: Bacterial small subunit ribosomal RNA
Source: RNAcentral